This 1501-nucleotide ribosomal RNA is filed under the name uncultured prokaryote. RNAcentral describes it as "partial 16S ribosomal RNA". It matches the Rfam family "Bacterial small subunit ribosomal RNA". The record is from RNAcentral.
AGAGUUUGAUCCUGGCUCAGAUUGAACGCUGGCGGCAGGCCUAACACAUGCAAGUCGAGCGAGAAAGUUCCUUCGGGAGCGAGUACAGCGGCGGACGGGUGAGUAACGCGUAGGAAUCUACCUAGUAGUGGGGGACAACAUGGUGAAAACCAUGCUAAUACCGGCAUACGCCCUAUGGGGGAAAGCGGGGGAUCUUCGGACCUCGUGCUAUUAGAUGAGCCUGCGUUAGAUUAGCUAGUUGGUGGGGUAAAGGCUCACCAAGGCGACGAUCUAUAGCUGGUCUGAGAGGAUGAUCAGCCACACUGGGACUGAGACACGGCCCAGACUCCUACGGGAGGCAGCAGUGGGGAAUAUUGCACAAUGGGCGAAAGCCUGAUGCAGCAAUGCCGCGUUUGUGAAGAAGGCUCUAGGGUUGUAAAGCACUUUCAGUAGGGAGGAAAAGUGUACAGUUAAUACCUGUAUGCCGUGACGUUACCUACAGAAGAAGCACCGGCUAACUCCGUGCCAGCAGCCGCGGUAAUACGGAGGGUGCAAGCGUUAAUCGGAAUUACUGGGCGUAAAGCGCGCGUAGGUGGUUUGAUAAGUUGGAUGUGAAAGCCCCGGGCUCAACCUGGGAACUGCAUUCAAAACUGUCUCACUAGAGUACGAUAGAGGGGGGUAGAAUUUCAGGUGUAGCGGUGAAAUGCGUAGAGAUCUGAAGGAACACCAGUGGCGAAGGCGACUUUCUGGACCAAUACUGACGCUCAGAUGCGAAAGCGUGGGGAGAAAACAGGAUUAGAUCCCCUGGUAGUCCACGCCGUAAACGAUGUCUACUAGCCAUUGCGUAAACGAUGUCUUUAGUGGCGCAGCUAACGCAUUAAGUUCACCGCCUGGGGAGUACGGUCGCAAGAUUAAAACUCAAAGGAAUUGACGGGGGCCCGCACAAGCAGUGGAGCAUGUGGUUUAAUUCGACGCAACGCGAAGAACCUUACCAGCCCUUGACAUACCUGUCGCGAUUUCCAGAGAUGGAUUUCUUCGGUUCGGCCGGACAGGAUACAGGUGCUGCACGGCUGUCGUCAGCUCGUGUCGUGAGAUGUUGGGUUAAGUCCCGCAACGAGCGCAACCCUCGCCCUUAGUUGCCAGCAGGUUAAGCUGGGCACUCUAGGGGAACUGCCGGUGACAAGCCGGAGGAAGGUGGGGAUGACGUCAAGUCCUCAUGGCCCUUACGGGCUGGGCUACACACGUGCUACAAUGGCGGUGACAGUGGGAGGCGACCUCGCGAGGGGAAGCUAAUCUCUAAAAAUUGUCUCAGUUCGGAUUGUUCUCUGCAACUCGAGAGCAUGAAGUCGGAAUCGCUAGUAAUCGCGUAUCAGCAUGACGCGGUGAAUACGUUCCCGGGCCUUGUACACACCGCCCGUCACACCAUGGGAGUUGGUUUUACCCGAAGCUGGUGCGCUAACCGCAAGGACGCAGCCGACCACGGUAAGGUCAGCGACUGGGGUGAAGUCGUAACAAGGUAACC